RNAcentral lists this unclassified non-coding RNA (243 nucleotides) under Hevea brasiliensis (rubber tree). Lineage: Eukaryota; Viridiplantae; Streptophyta; Magnoliopsida; Malpighiales; Euphorbiaceae. The record is from RNAcentral.
GUUAUUGUGUGUGCUGAAGUAUCAGUCGUCCUUACCUACAUGCAUCUCUGUGUGGAAGAUUGGCGGUGGUGGUGGAAGGCUUUCUUUGCUUCUGGUUCCGUUGCUCUUUACGUCUUCCUUUAUUCCAUCCACUACUUGGUCUUUGAGCUGCAGAGUUUGAGCGGACCGGUCUCGGCUAUUCUUUAUCUCGGUUAUUCAUUGAUCAUGGCAACGGCAAUUAUGUUAUCAACUGGCACCAUCGGC